This 2467-nucleotide long non-coding RNA is filed under the name Triticum aestivum (bread wheat). RNAcentral describes it as "long non-coding RNA (TAES_LNC011934)". The record is from RNAcentral. Lineage: Eukaryota; Viridiplantae; Streptophyta; Magnoliopsida; Poales; Poaceae.
CCCAUUGUAGCUAGUCUCGCGUGGGCGCGACAGCUGCCACCCGGGACGCGGGUGUGCAUCGUGUGCAGUAUAGAUUUUUCCCAUCUUUCUUUCAAAAUGUCAGGUGUUUUAUUUAUCAUGAUGUUAGCUUCUUAAAUUGCUGCUACUAGGACAUCUAUUCUUAAAUAGUUUGCUUAUAAAGUUUCCUAGUCAUUCGGAACCAACUGCAAUAUAUUAAUGCACAUAGUACUCUGCUCAUGUGUACAUCUUUCUUUAAAUGUUAGGUUAACAUGGAAAGUGCUAUGGAGCAAGAGGUACCUGAAGGUGGAGAACCAAAGAGUGAUGUUGUUGUUGUUGCUGACCUUUUCUCACUAAAGAAUGUCCCUCCAGCACAUUCCCUCACUGGUUGUGUUAUUUUUGUUGGUGCCAUCUUAUGUUACUGGUUCCUAGUGCACAUUAUGGACAUGUGCCAUCUUAUGAACAUGGGUAAUGAUACUAAGCUACUGGUUGUGUUAUUUUGGUUGGUACAUCUUAUGAACCUGUGGUGUAAUGAUACUGCGGAGCCUAACUUAUUGAAAUCCUGGAGAAUUAUAUUAUUAUGAUCAUUAUAUUUCUUGUGUUGGCUGACUGCCAAAUUGUGCAAUAUUUUUCUUUUUGAGAUAUUGUUGGUUGUUGUUGGUCACCGUUCAAUAAGGGCUGGACUGAAAAUACUAAAUUGUGUGAGUGGGCUGGACCGUUUUAAGGCCCUUUUUUGACAAAUAAAUCAAAAUGUUUUUGUUGGGUAGAUAAAAGGGCUGGCCCAAUUAAUGAUGGAUUAAAUAAAUGAGUUGCACGACUCAACCCAAGAACUAAUCUGUUGGGCUUGGCCCAUGCUUGUGGCCCAAGAGUAAAUCCAAAAGUAGGCUGAAUUAUUGGGCUCAGCCCAUUAAAACAACUGAUUUGGAUCGAUCCUACAUGGCAUCCACGUCAUUGCAUGUGCUACGUUGGCUCAGCCAUAUCAGAUCCUACGUGGUCUAGGCUCAUUAGAGCAUGGUUAAUAGUAUAGCCAGCUGCUAGCUAUAAGCCAGUGUCAUGUCAUUUACAGUCUAUCUUAUAGUCAACAUGUACAAUAGUAGAUCAAAAGAGUGUACUACUCUUUUAUUAUGUGGCCCACCUUUCAUUCUCACAAAGUGCCUAGGAGCACGUGCUAGAGCUGGCUCUUCAUGAAGAGGUCGCUUACCUUCUCUCUCCCCUCUUUUCUUUCCUCCAACUAAGCAGAAAUAUACUAGUUUAUUCCUUGCUCAACUCUAUUGUACUUACUUGCUCUUAGUAAUGACCAUAAUUUUGGUCAAAGAUUUAACGACAAAUUUUUUGGUCAACUGUUGACCUUUGAAUUUGGUCAAAAAAGGUCAAUAAACAAAAGCAUUGUUCGUUCUUGACGGCCAACUAUUGACCUUCCGAAUUUGGUAAAAAAAAGGUCAAUAAACAAAAGCAAUGACAAAUUAACGACCAAAAUGGGGAGUCAUAAUUGAUCGUAUUUCUUGUAGUGGAAUAACAGGGGGUGUGGGUGAGUAGAGGGAUGCCCUGGCCAGCGGUGGGAGUAGUAGGGGGUGGUGAGGCCUGCACGGCAGCACAGCCGGCCACGGAAGGCGGAAGCAGGCGGUCCCGCCGGCGCUGGAGUUGGCGGCUGGAGCAAGAAGAUCAGAGAUUGAAGAAACAUAACGGCCGUUGGAUUGACAUCCAAUGGUUACGUCUGCUAGAAUCGUUUGUUGACGUAUAUAAUAACUAAAAAAAUCUUGCAUACACAUCAACUUAAUAGGCCCACAAGUCAGACCAUUCCCUUUUUUAAAUAAUUUAUAUAUAGCUCAUUGCAACUUCUUAUGCAAUUUAUUGCAGUCCAUUUUUUUGGCUGGCUAGGGCCAGGGUUAAAAAUUUAAAGGAAAUUUCACAUAUUUCUGUGGGUUCCAAACUAUUUGUAAUACCGAAAUGUCGAGCCAGAUUUAAAGUACUUUGAAGAUAUAUUUAAAUUAGGUUAAAGCCCAGUGAAAUAGGAAUCUGAAAAUGUGAAAAAUUCAGAAAUUAUAAAGUAAUUGCCAAUUUGUCAUCUGUUUUUAUAUUUACAACCCAUUUCAUAUUACUUUCAAGAUUUGUAGGCGUUUUGAAAGAGUUGCAGCAAAUCAGGGCAUAGAAAAAUAAAUAGGCCUGGAUUGGGUAUUCUUUAGAAAAAAUAAUCUGGGCUCAUUUUCACAAAGAGAAAUAGCUGGGCUGGUCAAAUGGUGAACAUAAAAUAUAAGCCUGGGCUAGACGGGCCACAUCCCAGUUCAAACCCUGAUCCGUCUCAACAAUAACAAAAAAAUACUGCUCGACCAGCUACUUCCCAGGUGUCAGCUAAUCUUGUGUUGUUCUCUUGUCUAUUGACUAUAUAUGCUCACAAUGUCGUGGGUCCCAGAUGUUAGGAAAACACUAGGAGAAAGCAUUUUAUUUUUCCAUACGCUGACAUGGUGGGCCU